UACGUAGGGUGCGAGCGUUGUUCGGAAUUACUGGGCGUAAAGGGCUCGUAGGCGGCCAACUAAGUCCGACGUGAAAUCCCCAGGCUUAACCUGGGAACUGCGUCGGAUACUGGAUGGCUUGAAUUCGGGAGAGGGAUGCAGAAUUCCAGGUGUAGCGGUGAAAUGCGUAGAUAUCUGGAGGAAUACCGGUGGCGAAGGCGGCAUCCUGGACCGACAUUGACGCUGAUGAGCGAAAGCUAGGGGAGCAAACGGG
Molecule: ribosomal RNA, 253 nt
Filed under: uncultured bacterium
Lineage: Bacteria
Description: partial 16S ribosomal RNA
Rfam family: Bacterial small subunit ribosomal RNA
Source: RNAcentral